AGGGUUUGAUUAUGGCUCAGGAUGAACGCUGGCGGCGUGCUUAACACAUGCAAGUCGAGCGAAGCACCUACUUUGGAUUUCUUCGGAAUGACGAGGUUUGUGACUGAGCGGCGGACGGGUGAGUAACGCGUGGGCAACCUGCCUCACACAGGGGGAUAACAGUUAGAAAUGACUGCUAAUACCGCAUAAGACCACGAAACCGCAUGGUUUUGAGGUAAAAACUCCGGUGGUGUGAGAUGGGCCCGCGUCUGAUUAGGUAGUUGGUGCGGUAACGGCGCACCAAGCCGACGAUCAGUAGCCGACCUGAGAGGGUGACCGGCCACAUUGGGACUGAGACACGGCCCAA
This 346-nucleotide ribosomal RNA is filed under the name uncultured bacterium. RNAcentral's name for it is "bacterial SSU rRNA". It matches the Rfam family "Bacterial small subunit ribosomal RNA", at positions 8 to 334 of the family's 1533-position model. The record is from RNAcentral.